UACGUAGGUGGUGAGCGUUGUCCGGAUUUACUGGGCGUAAAGGGAGCGUAGGCGGACUUUUAAGUGAGAUGUGAAAUACCCGGGCUCAACUUGGGUGCUGCAUUUCAAACUGGAAGUCUAGAGUGCAGGAGAGGAGAAUGGAAUUCCUAGUGUAGCGGUGAAAUGCGUAGAGAUUAGGAAGAACACCAGUGGCGAAGGCGAUUCUCUGGACUGUAACUGACACUGAGGCGCGAAAGCGUGGGGAGCAAACAGGAUUAGAUACCCU
Molecule: ribosomal RNA, 265 nt
Filed under: uncultured prokaryote
Description: partial 16S ribosomal RNA
Rfam family: Bacterial small subunit ribosomal RNA
Source: RNAcentral